UACGGAGGGUGCGAGCGUUGUCCGGAAUCAUUGGGCGUAAAGGGCGCGUAGGUGGCCUGCUAAGCGUGCGGUGAAAGUCGGGGGCUCAACCCCCGAUCGGCCGUGCGAACUGGGAGGCUUGAGCACUGUAGAGGCAGGCGGAAUUCCGGGAGUAGCGGUGGAAUGCGUAGAGAUCCGGAAGAACACCGGUGGCGAAGGCGGCCUGCUGGGCAGUUUUGCUGACACUGAGGCGCGACAGCGUGGGGAGCAAACAGG
This 255-nucleotide ribosomal RNA is filed under the name uncultured bacterium. Its description in RNAcentral is "partial 16S ribosomal RNA". It matches the Rfam family "Bacterial small subunit ribosomal RNA", at positions 524 to 776 of the family's 1533-position model. The record is from RNAcentral.